CUCUGGUUCAAGGCUGGCCUCCAGACUUCACCCCCCAUCGUUCCACUGGACAGAGAGACCCAGGCACAGCCCCCGGAUGGUGACCACAGCCCUGGCGGCCAUGAGCAGUCCUACGUGGGGAAGCGGUCAAACCGGGUGGUGCGAACCCUCCAGAACACGCCGUCCCUGCACUCCAGGCACUGGGGAGCUCCCCAGCAGCGGGAGGGACGGCAGCAGCAGCAUCACGAGGAGCUGAGUGCGACCCCCACCCCCCUGGGGCUGCAGGAGACCAUCGCAGAGUUUUUGUACAUUGCCCGGCCGCUGCUGCACUGUAUCCUUAGCGCGGGGCAGGAUAGGGCUGGCACUGUGGGCUGGGGGAUUGAG
This 363-nucleotide small RNA is filed under the name Pan troglodytes (chimpanzee). Its description in RNAcentral is "retained intron". The record is from RNAcentral. Lineage: Eukaryota; Metazoa; Chordata; Mammalia; Primates; Hominidae.